Camelina sativa (false flax) is the source of this 518-nucleotide long non-coding RNA. RefSeq lists it as uncharacterized. The record is from RefSeq and is a predicted model, not a curated record. NCBI's taxonomy places the organism in Eukaryota, Viridiplantae, Streptophyta, Magnoliopsida, Brassicales, Brassicaceae.
UCAGAGACAUUUGCAGAAGAAAUUGGAAGAGGAAGAAGAAGAAGAAGAAGAAAGAUGUUGAGAACUCGACUUCUCUGGUUUACGCUUGGGUUUUCCGUCAGCGGAGGUUCCAUUGCUCAUCUCGUUUGGCGUGAUCUCUAUGCAGAACGUUUCGCUAUUACUUCUGAUAUGAAGGAGAAAUUCAACGCUCUGGAAGGUAGAGUUUCAGGUUUGGAGUCGUCUGGUGGUUAUGAGAAUCCGACUCCAGCUCAGGCUCACAGUUGAAGACUCUUGGAAGCUACACCAAGCCCAAAUUAACCAAAGACUUGGCUGAUCUGUCAGAGAGUUGCGAACUUGCAAUCUUCACUUGCAAGAUCUAAAGAUGCUUUGAAUAAUCUUCUAAACAAAAAAGUUUUUGUUUUUGUAAACGACUUACCUUUUGACUCUCGAGAUUUCUUCUGCAAGCUACGAGCAAGACUUACAUUUGUGUUAACAGUACAAAACAUUCGGCUUCAUUUAUUACAAGAAAUGGUUUAGUA